This 254-nucleotide unclassified non-coding RNA is filed under the name plant metagenome. RNAcentral describes it as "partial contains small subunit ribosomal RNA, internal transcribed spacer 1, and 5.8S ribosomal RNA". The stretch from base 206 to 254 matches the Rfam family "5.8S ribosomal RNA", at positions 1 to 49 of the family's 154-position model. The record is from RNAcentral.
UUUCCGUAGGUGAACCUGCGGAAGGAUCAUUAAAGUUAUAGUCCCCUGGCCCUCUGGGCUGGGGUCUUCUAUACCACCCUUUGUUUAUUACACCUUUGUUGCUUUGGCAGGCCUGCCCUCGGGCUGCUGGCUCCGGCCGGCGAGCGCCUGCCAGAGGACCUAAACUCUGUUUGUCUAUAAUGUCUGAGUACUAUAUAAUAGUUAAAACUUUCAACAACGGAUCUCUUGGUUCUGGCAUCGAUAAAGAACGCAGC